CGUAGGUGGCAAGCGUUGUCCGGAUUUACUGGGCGUAAAGGGCGUGCAGGCGGUUUGUUAAGUGCAGAGUGAAAGCUCCCGGCUCAACUGGGAGAGGUCUUUGCAUACUGGCAAACUCGAGGGAGGCAGAGGAAAGUGGAAUUCCCGGUGUAGUGGUGAUAUGCGUAGAUAUCGGGAGGAACACCUGUGGCGAAGGCGGCUUUCUGGGCCUUACCUGACGCUGAGACGCGAAAGCGUGGGGAGCGAACCGGAUUAGAUACCCGGGUAGUCCACGCCGUAAACUAUGGACACUAGGUGUGGGGGGUAUCGACCCCCUCCGUGCCGAAGCUAACGCAAUAAGUGUCCCGCCUGGGGAGUACGGCCGCAAGGCUA
RNAcentral lists this ribosomal RNA (372 nucleotides) under uncultured organism. Its description in RNAcentral is "bacterial SSU rRNA". It matches the Rfam family "Bacterial small subunit ribosomal RNA", at positions 526 to 896 of the family's 1533-position model. The record is from RNAcentral.